GCUAAUCGGCAGAUUUAUUUGCAAAGCCUUCACUACAUAAUGUUCAUACCUCAAUUCUUUUCAUCUAACCCUGUCAUAAGCAAAAUCUGUACCUCAUAAAAUUGUCUAAAAUCAAUAUUUCUAAUCAAAUAGUUUAAUUUCUCUAUUUUAUUUUUUUACCACAUGAAGCACAAUGAGUGCUUAAAAUUUCAAUUCACAAGGUAAAACGUCAAAUAAAGUGUUUUAACAGAAUAUUUAAUGUAAUUUCAAGGUCACAGCAGAGUUGCCCUGCAGCCUCGUCGGCAAAGAGCAGGAAAUUCGGGAAAAAGCCUUAAAAAUGCUCCGAAACAGGAGGGAGGACCUCCGAAGGUCAGGAAAGAAGAGAGAAGGACUUCAGCUUCACUCCAACGACGUGUAAGACUACUGAAAAAAGGUGGGAGAACAGUGGCCCUUGGAGAAAUAACAGAAGCACUUAAGAUUUGCCUCCAGGACAUCACACCUCCUAUUAAGCGCCUUUACAAAGCAGGAGAAAGAGUGAAAUGGAGGAAAAAAUACAUAGAUGGGUCAAGUAAGCAGCAGGAGCAAAGAGCAGAAGAGGAAAUAGGAAAGAAGAAGGGAGAGGAAAAGAGAGAGAGAGGAGAGAAGACAGAUGAGGAGGGAAAAGCAGUGGAAGAAGGAAGCAACAAACGUAAAGGAGGAAGAGGCUAUGAAGA
Molecule: long non-coding RNA, 692 nt
Organism: Brienomyrus brachyistius
Lineage: Eukaryota; Metazoa; Chordata; Actinopteri; Osteoglossiformes; Mormyridae
Exons: 5
Source: RefSeq, a predicted model, not a curated record